GUGAGUAUUACUGCUGAAUUAGUUCCUCCCUCACCGCUUCAUGUGCAUCCCCCAAAGCUGUGUGCUCAGUCGAGGAGGACAACCAUCCCUGAUAGAGGAGGAUCAGUCUUCUGUCAAGGGUAUACGAGUAGCUGCGCUCCCCUGCUAGAACUUCCAAAUAAGCUCUCAAGGUCCACUUUUGUAUUUUUCUAUCAGUAUGUGUGAUGCCCUAUUUCUUUUACUAGUUGAUGUACACUAUUUAUAUUUGCUUAUAUAAUUGU
Non-coding RNA from Dipodomys ordii (Ord's kangaroo rat), 260 nucleotides. The record is from Rfam. Lineage: Eukaryota; Metazoa; Chordata; Mammalia; Rodentia; Heteromyidae.